AAGGGGGCUCUGAGCAAUAGAAGCUGCUAAUUUCUUUUCCCUUGGUUAGACUCCAAGGUCCUUUCG
This 66-nucleotide transfer RNA is filed under the name Jenkinsia sp. CL54. Its description in RNAcentral is "tRNA-Ser (AGY)". Lineage: Eukaryota; Metazoa; Chordata; Actinopteri; Clupeiformes; Clupeidae. The record is from RNAcentral.